GAUGAACGCUGGCGGCGUGCCUAACACAUGCAAGUCGAGCGGAAAGACGGUGAGAUUGUGCUUUUGCCGUUAGCGGGGGGCGGGUGGGUGACGAGUGGAUCACACACUUCUAUUUCGGGGAUGAUUACGGAAGACCGGAUACAAUAAUAGAGCAUAUAUUGUACCGGAUGGAGCAGUGGAGAAUGGCGGCUUUGGUGUCUGAAUUAGCUGGUUUCGGGCCGGAUUAGUUAGUUGGUAAGGUACCGGCUUACCAAGGCUACGAAGCGUAGCCGAGCUGAGAGGGUGAUCGGCCACACUGGAACUGAGACACGGUCCAGACUCCUACGGGAGGCAGCAGUGGGGAAUCUUCGGCAAUGGGCGAAAGCCUGACGCAGCAACGCCGCGUGAGUGAUGAAGGCCUUCGGAUCGUAAAGCCCUGUUAUUGGGGAAGAACAGCUGUGGAAUUAACUAUGGCCGUUUUGACGGUACCUAAUCAAUAAGCACCGGCUAACUACGUG
RNAcentral lists this ribosomal RNA (497 nucleotides) under uncultured bacterium. RNAcentral describes it as "partial 16S ribosomal RNA". It matches the Rfam family "Bacterial small subunit ribosomal RNA", at positions 28 to 507 of the family's 1533-position model. The record is from RNAcentral.